Pelobates cultripes (western spadefoot toad) is the source of this 175-nucleotide non-coding RNA. The record is from the annotation of a GenBank genome assembly. Lineage: Eukaryota; Metazoa; Chordata; Amphibia; Anura; Pelobatidae.
GAUUAGUGACAGAGUGAGUGAGGGGGUGACUAGUGACAGAGUGAGGGAGCAGGUGACAAAGUGACAGAGAGAGGGAUGGGGUGACUAGUGACAGUCAUCCCCUCCCUCACUCUGUCACUAGUCACUCCCUCCCUCUGUCACUAGUCACUCCCUCCCUCUGUCACCAAUCAUCCCC